RNAcentral lists this ribosomal RNA (578 nucleotides) under Weissella cibaria. Its description in RNAcentral is "bacterial SSU rRNA". It matches the Rfam family "Bacterial small subunit ribosomal RNA", at positions 66 to 630 of the family's 1533-position model. Lineage: Bacteria; Bacillati; Bacillota; Bacilli; Lactobacillales; Lactobacillaceae. The record is from RNAcentral.
GCUCAGAUAUGACGAUGGACAUUGCAAAGAGUGGCGAACGGGUGAGUAACACGUGGGAAACCUACCUCUUAGCAGGGGAUAACAUUUGGAAACAGAUGCUAAUACCGUAUAACAAUAGCAACCGCAUGGUUGCUACUUAAAAGAUGGUUCUGCUAUCACUAAGAGAUGGUCCCGCGGUGCAUUAGUUAGUUGGUGAGGUAAUGGCUCACCAAGACGAUGAUGCAUAGCCGAGUUGAGAGACUGAUCGGCCACAAUGGGACUGAGACACGGCCCAUACUCCAACGGGAGGCAGCAGUAGGGAAUCUUCCACAAUGGGCGAAAGCCUGAUGGAGCAACGCCGCGUGUGUGAUGAAGGGUUUCGGCUCGUAAAACACUGUUGUAAGAGAAGAAUGACAUUGAGAGUAACUGUUCAAUGUGUGACGGUAUCUUACCAGAAAGGAACGGCUAAAUACGUGCCAGCAGCCGCGGUAAUACGUAUGUUCCAAGCGUUAUCCGGAUUUUUUGGGCGUAAAGCGAGCGCAGACGGUUAUUUAAGUCUGAAGUGAAAGCCCUCAGCUCAACUGAGGAAUUGCUUUGGA